Molecule: ribosomal RNA, 450 nt
Filed under: uncultured bacterium
Lineage: Bacteria
Description: partial 16S ribosomal RNA
Rfam family: Bacterial small subunit ribosomal RNA
Source: RNAcentral
GUGGGGAAUUUUGGACAAUGGGCGCAAGCCUGAUCCAGCAAUGCCGCGUGCAGGAAGAAGGCCUUCGGGUUGUAAACUGCUUUUGUACGGAACGAAACGGUCCUGGUUAAUACCUGGGGCUAAUGACGGUACCGUAAGAAUAAGCACCGGCUAACUACGUGCCAGCAGCCGCGGUAAUACGUAGGGUGCGAGCGUUAAUCGGAAUUACUGGGCGUAAAGCGGGCGCAGGCGGUGCUGUAAGACAGGUGUGAAAUCCCCGGGCUCAACCUGGGAAUUGCGCUUGUGACUGCAGUGCUGGAGUACGGCAGAGGGGGAUGGAAUUCCGCGUGUAGCAGUGAAAUGCGUAGAUAUGCGGAGGAACACCGAUGGCGAAGGCAGUCCCCUGGGCCUGUACUGACGCUCAUGCACGAAAGCGUGGGGAGCAAACAGGAUUAGAUACCCGAGUAGUCC